CUAAUUAUUUUAUUUCUCUUGUGUUUCAUAGACUGUUCUUGCAACCACUGUUUUUUUUUAUGUAAUUAUUGUGAGAUUUGAUUCAUAAGAAGCCAAAUAGUCAGAACGUGAAUAUUGGGCUCGCUUGAUUUUGGUACCGCCUCAACCACCUCCAGUUUGUCUUUAUGUCUUGUUCUUUUUUGUCAUAUCAUUUAUUUUAGUCAGGCUGUGGCUGGAUCACUUGAAAAGGGGGCUUAGUAGUUGCACCCCUCACGUGUAUGGGAUUCCUUCCCUGUGUGCGGUGUAAAUAAGUUAACCCUUGUGUUAACUCUUGUAGUGUGUAGUGUACAGCCCUGAGUUGGCCCAGCUUGCCGUUCGGUGUAAACAAGUUAACCCUUGUAGUGUGUAGUGUACGGCCCUGAGUUGGCCCAGCUUGCUGUGCUGUGUACAGUUAACCCUUGCAGUGUGUAGUGUACGGUCCUGAGUUGGCCCAGCUUGUAGUUAUACCGGGUGGGUGUAUUAUUAGUGGGGUUAGCACAGUACUGGCCCGGGUGAUUUGCCACAGUCGGCUGACUUAGUUAUUUUCUGUUAAGUUGUUAGUUUUCUGUUUAUUCUUUUUUUCUUGUUUGUUAAUAAAAUUGAUAUUAUUUUUGCACAUCAGCCUCCUCCUUUUAUUAAUUCAUUCAAUUGAAUACCCUUGACCUGUUGAGUACCCACUAGUGGCCAUUGGUGGGGUUACAUUUGGCGCUGCGAGCAGGAUUGGAGGCUGUGUGCUUUAUUUUUGUUUUAUUGCAUUUCGUUUAUUUUUCUGGAGGUGGUUAGAAGUGAGCCAUGGCAGAGUAGUAAAAAAAAAAAAAAAAAAAAAAAAAAAAACAGUGGUUGCAUUUAGGAGCACGAACUACCCAUCGCUCUCAAGCACCCCACCUCUCGUACUGAAGCAAGUCACCCAUCGAGCUCAAGCACGCCAGGUCUCUCUCCAGCAUGUCGGACCCUGAGAGCCUGGAGGCUCUGGUGAGGGCCUUCACAGACUUGACGAAACAGCAGCAGGCUGUCAACGAGCAGCUUCAAGGUAGCCAACCCUCUCUGGACGGAGGGGUGGCAUCACAGCGGCCGUUUUUCCAGACUGCUGUCACAGUAUCAGGUCUGACUGCUACAGAAAAGAGGCCAGUUGAGAACAUUUCGGUAGAGGACUGGAGCGAAGAAGCAUAUCGGUCUCUCUUGGCCUGUCCAGGUCCUCCAUUGGAAAAGACUUUGCUUGUGUGUGAUGUGUUGGGUGGGGAAGCUGGGGGGGUAGUAGAGUUCAGUCCACCAGGUAUUUUAAAAGAGAAUUUCCUCUGUUUUAAGUCUCUUAAUACGCUUUACCGCCAGUUUUAUCACCGCCGGCAGCAGGAAGUUAGUGCUUAUUCAUGUAAGUCUUGCCUGUGUCUUAAUUACGAAGGACACAACGCCAGUGUAUGUCAGGCCGCCCUUCCACCAGAGCCAGAGCCAGGGCCAGGGCCCGGGCCCGGGCCAGUGCCUCACAGUGGGGGGCCCGCUGAGGAUGUAGCCUGCUGUAGUGUUGGGCCACAGGAAAACUAGCGCCCUCUGGUGCCGUGAGCCAGGCACUGGCAGGGGACUUGUUGGGCUCAGUGGAACAGUCGGCUCCAUCGUCUUCACAGCGUAGUGGGAACUACUCCAUCAUCGACGUUCGUUUUGGAGGGGUGACUACACGCUGCCAUUUACAUAAUGGAUCGAUGGCGACUGCAGCAACAGAGGAUUCCGUCAACCCGUGUUUACAGCCACGAAGGGGAGAUGCCAUGCGAAGGCCACAGGAAAACUAGCGCCCUCCAGUGUUGAGUCAGACACUGGGAGGGGCUUGGUUGUGAUCAGAGGAACAGUCAGCUUCGAGCUCAGUGUAGUGGAAACUGCCCCAUCAUCGACGUUCGUUUUGCGGAAAGACCACACGCUACCUGUUAAAGACAGGCUCGAUGGCGACUGCAACAACAGAGAACUCUUUCAAUUUGUGUGUACAGCCAUAGAUUGGAGAAGUUAUGCAGCCAUGUGAUUGGCUUCGGAGAAAGGUGGAUAAUGGACUGGACAUUCCGUACCUGGGCUACCUGGAACUGGGCUUGGAGGUCCUGGGUAGAGUGCUACCGAACACUGGAGUACUCGCAGUAAAAGACUCCCUUGACCCUACUACCAAGAAGCAGAAGAAGUCUGUCCCUGUCCCAGGUCUGCUCAGGAAGACAGUUGGCUGUUGUUUAAGUGCAUGUUCAAGAGUCGGGGGAAAACGGUGCAACUCUACUCAGUGCAGCCCCUAGGCCUCAGGAAAGGAGGGUAGAGUGCUAUCGACGACCGGAGUACUCGCAGUGAAAGACUCCCUCGACCCUAUUACCAAGUGACAGAAGAAGUCUGUUCGAGAGGAACGCCAUCCACAGCUGUAACCAAGAACUCUUCCCAGCCGUGGCACUAGUGGUCACCGGGACGGUGCCCUUAAAAAGUGGGGGAAUAUGUGACGGGCACGUGCCCUGGCCCUUUAAAUCUUGGUUUGGUCCCGAUUGGUUGGCAGCCCUGCACUGGUCACAUGACCUGGUAGCUCCAAUUUUCUUUGUUCUUUUAAACCACACACUCGCGGCAAACGCGAGGAGAGAAGCACCCUGUACACUUUAGCUGCCGGCGGUGAAAGAAAAGCCCUUUUUCAUUUACGUGGGUACCGCUGCAAGUUUUAAACAGUUUUAAUCAGUAGCUUACGGAACAGAAUCGCACAUUGGAGACCCAUGUCUGUGGACUGAACUUUUAUACAGAGGUUGCCUACCAUUUCCUUGUGCUGACCGGACAGAAAGCGAGUACAAACCACAAAGUAACAAGGUAGUUUAAGUUUUAUCUACACAUCGUGGUGUAACUCCUUUUAAAUUACUAUGUGUUUGUGUGUGAGACUAAUUAUUUUAUUUCUCUUGUGUUUCAUAGACUGUUCUUGCAACCACUGUUUUUUUUUAUGUAAUUAUUGUGAGAUUUGAUUCAUAAGAAGCCAAAUAGUCAGAACGUGAAUAUUGGGCUCGCUUGAUUUUGGUACCGCCUCAACCACCUCCAGUUUGUCUUUAUGUCUUGUUCUUUUUUGUCAUAUCAUUUAUUUUAGUCAGGCUGUGGCUGGAUCACUUGAAAAGGGGGCUUAGUAGUUGCACCCCUCACGUGUAUGGGAUUCCUUCCCUGUGUGCGGUGUAAAUAAGUUAACCCUUGUGUUAACUCUUGUAGUGUGUAGUGUACAGCCCUGAGUUGGCCCAGCUUGCCGUUCGGUGUAAACAAGUUAACCCUUGUAGUGUGUAGUGUACGGCCCUGAGUUGGCCCAGCUUGCUGUGCUGUGUACAGUUAACCCUUGCAGUGUGUAGUGUACGGUCCUGAGUUGGCCCAGCUUGUAGUUAUACCGGGUGGGUGUAUUAUUAGUGGGGUUAGCACAGUACUGGCCCGGGUGAUUUGCCACAGUCGGCUGACUUAGUUAUUUUCUGUUAAGUUGUUAGUUUUCUGUUUAUUCUUUUUUUUCUUGUUUGUUAAUAAAAUUGAUAUUAUUUUUGCA
Molecule: long non-coding RNA, 3529 nt
Organism: Engraulis encrasicolus (European anchovy)
Lineage: Eukaryota; Metazoa; Chordata; Actinopteri; Clupeiformes; Engraulidae
Exons: 2
Source: RefSeq, a predicted model, not a curated record